ACCUGGCUGGCUCAGUCAGUAGAGCGUACGACUCUUGAUCUUGGGGUUGUGAGUUCACCCCAUGUUAGGUG
Molecule: transfer RNA, 71 nt
Filed under: Ailuropoda melanoleuca (giant panda)
Lineage: Eukaryota; Metazoa; Chordata; Mammalia; Carnivora; Ursidae
Rfam family: tRNA
About the family: Transfer RNA (tRNA) molecules are approximately 80 nucleotides in length. Their secondary structure includes four short double-helical elements and three loops (D, anti-codon, and T loops).
Source: Rfam by way of RNAcentral